CAGCAACCCAUCUGGUGUAUCUGGGUAUACCCGGGGCACCCGCGACCUCCUACACCCCACAGCUCCCCUAAAAGCCCUUGGCCUCCGGACGGCACCAUCGCCCUCCAGUCUUGUGCCAAGGGCUCUGCGGGGUGCCGGGGACACAGUCCCCAGGCAGGCAGGAAGGCUAUGUAGUUAGUAAAAGCAUGUUUAGUUCUGUGAGGCAGUGCGGGGAACGUCGAGGGCCCGGCCCGGUAGGGAGGGUCACGCUUGACUUCUGGAGGGAGCAGCAGCGAAGCUGAAGACAGGUCCAGACGCAGCUGGCCGAGGAACGAGCUGAUGGAGGCCAGACUGGCAGCGAGCAGCGUGUAAGGGCCCGAAGGGGGCCUCGGGAGCAGGCUAGGGGAGGGGAUGCGCUCAGAUCCAGAGGUGGUGCGUGAGACAUCCAGAUGGCACUGUUCAGGGCAAGCAGUUACAGUUACAAGAGGCUCCGAAAGGAGUAUGGAUUGGAGACAACGGUGUAGCCGAGGGAACAGGUUCUUGUGAAACCUGUGCUCCUCCGCCAGAGAUGCUGACCCAGCAUCAAACCCUCCCCCUCCCUGUGCGGCCGCCCGAGCCGCCCAGUCUGCUGAGGCCCCAAGAUGGCAACCAGGGCUUUCCAAACGGACUCCACCUCUUCCCCACAGGCUGCCUGGUGAUUCACCCCUCCUCUCCCACUGUCUUCCCUCUUGCUGCAAGCCUUGGGCUACCAGGGAAGGGAACUUCUUCUCAGUUUCCUGUGUGGCUGACCCCGGCUGGCGACUGGCGAGGAUCCUGCUCAGGCCUCAAGCUUCUGCCUCCCUUCCCUGAGAGUCCUUUCCAACCCCCUCCUCUCCAGGAAGACUCCGGUAAAUAAAGCCCGUGAACACUUCGGCUUCCUCCCCAAGAAGCUGGACGUUUCCUCCCAACACACCGUUGGCUCCCAGGCCAGCACUCAAUCCAAUGAGCCACCCCAGCCAGGGCUAAAACAAGAUUCUUGUCAGAGAAGCACUCCCAGCCUGAUCAGCCUAAUAAAUCAC
Phyllostomus hastatus (greater spear-nosed bat) is the source of this 1037-nucleotide long non-coding RNA. RefSeq lists it as uncharacterized. The record is from RefSeq and is a predicted model, not a curated record. NCBI's taxonomy places the organism in Eukaryota, Metazoa, Chordata, Mammalia, Chiroptera, Phyllostomidae. The transcript has 3 exons.